This 460-nucleotide ribosomal RNA is filed under the name uncultured bacterium. RNAcentral describes it as "partial 16S ribosomal RNA". It matches the Rfam family "Bacterial small subunit ribosomal RNA", at positions 338 to 795 of the family's 1533-position model. The record is from RNAcentral.
CCUACGCGAGGCAGCAGUGAGGAAUAUUGGUCAAUGUACGAGAGUCUGAACCAGCCAAGUAGCGUGAAGGAUGACUGCCCUAUGGGUUGUAAUCUUCCUUUAUAUGGGAAUAAACUGUUCCACGUGUGGGUUUUUGUAUGUACCAUAUGAAUAAGGAUCGGCUAACUCCGUGCCAGCAGCCGCGGUAAUACGGAGGAUCCGAGUGUUAUCCGGAUUUAUUGGGUUUAAAGGGAGCGUAGGUGGAUUGUUAAGUCAGUUGUGAAUGUUUGCGGCUCAACCGUAAAAUUGCAGUUGAAACUGGCAGUCUUGAGUACAGUAGAGGUGGGCGGGAUUCGUGGUGUAGCGGUGAAAUGCUUAGAUAUCACGAAGAACUCCGAUUGCGAAGGCAGUUCACUGGACUGCAACUGACACUGAGGCUCGAAAGUGUGGGUAUCAAACAGGAUGAGAUACCCCAGUAGUC